UACGUAGGGGGCAAGCGUUGUUCGGAAUUACUGGGCGUAAAGGGCGCGUAGGCGGCACAGCAAGUCGGGAGUGAAAUCCCCGGGCUCAACCUGGGAAUUGCGAUGGAGACUGCAAGGCUAGAAUCUGGCAGAGGGGGGUAGAAUUCCACGUGUAGCAGUGAAAUGCGUAGAGAUGUGGAGGAACACCGAUGGCGAAGGCAGCCCCCUGGGUCAAGAUUGACGCUCAUGCACGAAAGCGUGGGGAGCAAACAGG
Molecule: ribosomal RNA, 253 nt
Filed under: uncultured bacterium
Lineage: Bacteria
Description: partial 16S ribosomal RNA
Rfam family: Bacterial small subunit ribosomal RNA
Source: RNAcentral